UACGUAGGUGGCAAGCGUUGUCCGGAUUUAUUGGGUUUAAAGGGUGCGUAGGCGGCGUUGUAAGUCAGUGGUGAAAGUUUUCAGCUUAACUGGAAAAUUGCCAUUGAUACUGCAGUGCUUGAGUACAGAUGAGGUGGGCGGAAUGUGUCAUGUAGCGGUGAAAUGCAUAGAUAUGACACAGAACACCAAUUGCGAAGGCAGCUCACUAAGCUGUAACUGACGCUGAGGCACGAAAGCGUGGGGAUCAAACAGG
This 253-nucleotide ribosomal RNA is filed under the name uncultured bacterium. RNAcentral describes it as "partial 16S ribosomal RNA". It matches the Rfam family "Bacterial small subunit ribosomal RNA", at positions 524 to 776 of the family's 1533-position model. The record is from RNAcentral.